UACGUAGGCAGCGAGCGUUGUUCGGAGUUACUGGGCGUAAAGAGUGCGUAGGCGGUUGGCUAAGUUUGGUGUGAAAUCUCCCGGCUCAACUGGGAGGGUGCGCCGAAAACUGGCUGGCUGGAGUGUGGGAGAGGCUAGCGGAAUUCCUGGUGUAGCGGUGAAAUGCGUAGAUAUCAGGAGGAACACCUGCGGUGUGGACGGCUGGCUGGACCACUACUGACGCUGAGGCACGAAAGCGUGGGGAGCAAACAGG
This 253-nucleotide ribosomal RNA is filed under the name uncultured bacterium. RNAcentral describes it as "partial 16S ribosomal RNA". It matches the Rfam family "Bacterial small subunit ribosomal RNA", at positions 524 to 776 of the family's 1533-position model. The record is from RNAcentral.